This 491-nucleotide ribosomal RNA is filed under the name uncultured bacterium. RNAcentral describes it as "partial 16S ribosomal RNA". It matches the Rfam family "Bacterial small subunit ribosomal RNA", at positions 28 to 507 of the family's 1533-position model. The record is from RNAcentral.
GAUGAACGCUAGCGAUAGGCUUAACACAUGCAAGUCGAGGGGUAACGUGUUGGAAGCUUGCUUCCGAUGACGACGACCGGCGGAUGGGUGCGUAACGCGUAUGCAACUUGCCUCACAGUGGAGAAUAACCCGGAGAAAUCCGGACUAAUACUCCAUACACUCUUAAGUACGCCUGUACAUGAGAGGAAAGAUUUAUCGCUGUGAGAUAGGCAUGCGUCCUAUUAGGUAGUUGGUGAGGUAACGGCUCACCAAGCCGACGAUAGGUAGGGGUGCUGAGAGGCAGAUCCCCCACAUUGGGACUGAGACACGGCCCAAACUCCUACGGGAGGCAGCAGUGAGGAAUAUUGGUCAAUGGAGGAAACUCUGAACCAGCCAAGUCGCGUGAAGGAAGAAUGUCCUAAGGAUUGUAAACUUCUUUAGCGAGCGAGUAAGGACUUCCACGUGAUGGGAGUUUGAAAGUAGCUCGAGAAUAAGUAGCGGCUAACUCCGUG